GCACCCGUAGCUCAGCUGGAUAGAGCGCUGGCUUGCGGAGCCAGAGGUCGUAAGUUCGAAUCUUGCCGGGUGUA
Molecule: transfer RNA, 74 nt
Filed under: Candidatus Minimicrobia naudis
Lineage: Bacteria; Candidatus Saccharimonadota
Also listed under: 1 other name
Rfam family: tRNA
About the family: Transfer RNA (tRNA) molecules are approximately 80 nucleotides in length.
Source: Rfam by way of RNAcentral